RNAcentral lists this ribosomal RNA (249 nucleotides) under uncultured bacterium. Its description in RNAcentral is "partial 16S ribosomal RNA". It matches the Rfam family "Bacterial small subunit ribosomal RNA", at positions 526 to 779 of the family's 1533-position model. The record is from RNAcentral.
CGUAGGUGCAAGCGUUAAUCGGAAUUACUGGGCGUAAAGCGUGCGCAGGCGGUCUUGCAAGACAGAUGUGAAUCCCGGGCUCAACCUGGGAACUGCAUUUGUGACUGCAAGGCUGGAGUACGGCAGAGGGGAUGGAAUUCCGCGUGUAGCAGUGAAAUGCGUAGAUAUGCGGAGGAACACCGAUGGCGAAGGCAAUCCCCUGGGCCUGUACUGACGCUCAUGCACGAAAGCGUGGGAGCAAACAGGAUU